RNAcentral lists this ribosomal RNA (761 nucleotides) under uncultured bacterium. RNAcentral describes it as "bacterial SSU rRNA". It matches the Rfam family "Bacterial small subunit ribosomal RNA", at positions 771 to 1532 of the family's 1533-position model. The record is from RNAcentral.
AACAGGAUUAGAUACCCUGGUAGUCCACGCCGUAAACGAUGUCGACUUGGAGGUUGUUCCCUUGAGGAGUGGCUUCCGGAGCUAACGCGUUAAGUCGACCGCCUGGGGAGUACGGCCGCAAGGUUAAAACUCAAAUGAAUUGACGGGGGCCCGCACAAGCGGUGGAGCAUGUGGUUUAAUUCGAUGCAACGCGAAGAACCUUACCUACUCUUGACAUCCAGAGAACUUAGCAGAGAUGCUUUGGUGCCUUCGGGAACUCUGAGACAGGUGCUGCAUGGCUGUCGUCAGCUCGUGUUGUGAAAUGUUGGGUUAAGUCCCGCAACGAGCGCAACCCUUAUCCUUUGUUGCCAGCGAUUCGGUCGGGAACUCAAAGGAGACUGCCGGUGAUAAACCGGAGGAAGGUGGGGAUGACGUCAAGUCAUCAUGGCCCUUACGAGUAGGGCUACACACGUGCUACAAUGGCGCAUACAAAGAGAAGCGACCUCGCGAGAGCAAGCGGACCUCAUAAAGUGCGUCGUAGUCCGGAUCGGAGUCUGCAACUCGACUCCGUGAAGUCGGAAUCGCUAGUAAUCGUGGAUCAGAAUGCCACGGUGAAUACGUUCCCGGGCCUUGUACACACCGCCCGUCACACCAUGGGAGUGGGUUGCAAAAGAAGUAGGUAGCUUAACCUUCGGGAGGGCGCUUACCACUUUGUGAUUCAUGACUGGGGUGAAGUCGUAACAAGGUAACCGUAGGGGAACCUGCGGCUGGAUCACCUCCUU